Molecule: non-coding RNA, 473 nt
Organism: Cinara cedri
Lineage: Eukaryota; Metazoa; Arthropoda; Insecta; Hemiptera; Aphididae
Source: the annotation of a GenBank genome assembly
AAUGCAUUCUUCGCUACACUCAGAAUCUAAAAUUAAAUAUGGGAAAAAAUCGCUUCUUUAGUAUCAAUGGGUUUUUGAGCAUUAUACCCAGAUGAAUAUCUCGUAUCAGAUUAAAAACUUCAUUGGAUUGAUUACGGUUUAAUCGGAAGUAAUUAAGCAGGUAUGAGACGCGUCACGCGCGUUGUCCUUGCGUUUCGAAAAACCCGUCGCCUAACGUACGAAUGCAUGUGAAAUUGUUAAUUUAAGUAUUCGGCGUAUAAUAUGCACGCGUAAGAUACGUAAGGAACGGGCUUGAAAAAGUACGAUAUAGUGAUUUAAAGUCUAAAAAUCCAUACUUCGUUGGAAAUAAUAAAAAAAUAAGGUUCGGUAAAAAAAACGUCCUAGGAUAAUGAAAACGGGUGCAGCCUCCGUUAAAGGUAAUUUAAUGUAUAUCUGCAAGCCAUUACUAAACCAAAAACGUUUACGAGUGCAGU